RNAcentral lists this non-coding RNA (30 nucleotides) under Homo sapiens (human). The record is from RNAcentral. Lineage: Eukaryota; Metazoa; Chordata; Mammalia; Primates; Hominidae.
UACAAGGAGAGAGGACCCAAACAGGGUUGC